This 274-nucleotide ribosomal RNA is filed under the name uncultured bacterium. RNAcentral describes it as "partial 16S ribosomal RNA". It matches the Rfam family "Bacterial small subunit ribosomal RNA", at positions 523 to 796 of the family's 1533-position model. The record is from RNAcentral.
AUACGGAGGGUGCAAGCGUUACUCGGAAUCACUGGGCGUAAAGCGCGCGCAGGCGGCUUGAUAAGUUGGAUGUGAAAGCCUACGGCUCAACCGUAGAACUGCAUCCAAAACUGUCAGGCUAGAGUGUGGGAGAGGAAGAUGGAAUUAGUUGUGUAGGGGUAAAAUCCGUAGAGAUAACUAGGAAUACCAAAAGCGAAGGCAAUCUUCUGGAACACUCCUGACGCUGAGGCGCGAAGGCGUGGGGAGCAAACAGGAUUAGAUACCCCGGUAGUCC